CCUACGGGAGGCAGCAGUCGAGAAUCAUUCACAAUGGGGGAAACCCUGAUGGUGCGACGCCGCGUGAGGGAAUGAAGGUCUUCGGAUUGUAAACCCCUGUCAUGUGGGAGCAAAUUAAAAAGAUAGUACCACAAGAGGAAGAGACGUCAAACUCUGUGCAAGCAGCAGCGGUAAUACAGAGGUCUCAAGCUUUGUUCGGAAUCACUGGGCGUAACGCGUGCGUUGGCUGUUUCGUAAGUCGUGGGUGAAAGGCGCGGGCUCAACCCGCGGACGGCACAUGAUACUGCGAGACUAGGGUAAUGGAGGGGGAACCGAAAUUCUCGGUGUAGCAGUGAAAUGCGUAGAUAUCGAGAGGAACACUGGUGGCGAAGGCGGGUUCCUGGACAUUAACUGACGCUGGGGCACGAAGGCCAGGGGAGCGAAAGGGAUUAGAUACCCUGUAGUC
This 445-nucleotide ribosomal RNA is filed under the name uncultured bacterium. Its description in RNAcentral is "partial 16S ribosomal RNA". It matches the Rfam family "Bacterial small subunit ribosomal RNA", at positions 338 to 795 of the family's 1533-position model. The record is from RNAcentral.